GAUGAACGCUGGCGGCAUGCCUAAGACAUGCAAGUCGAACGAGGUGGCCCAUUGACAAUUAAUGAAAGUGGAGUGCUUGCACAAAACUGGAUUUAAUUUGAUUUGGAUUUUCCACCUAGUGGCAAACGGGUGAGUAACACGUGGGUUACCUGCCCUUAAGUUGGGGAUAACAGUUGGAAACGAUUGCUAAUACCGAAUGUGCUCUACGGAGUAAAGAAGCCCUUAAAGCUUCGCUUAAGGAUGGGCCUGCGGCGCAUUAGCUAGUUGGUGGGGUAAUGGCCUACCAAGGCAACGAUGCGUAGCCGAACUGAGAGGUUGAUCGGCCACACUGGGACUGAGACACGGCCCAG
RNAcentral lists this ribosomal RNA (350 nucleotides) under uncultured bacterium. Its description in RNAcentral is "bacterial SSU rRNA". It matches the Rfam family "Bacterial small subunit ribosomal RNA", at positions 28 to 334 of the family's 1533-position model. The record is from RNAcentral.